This 505-nucleotide ribosomal RNA is filed under the name uncultured bacterium. Its description in RNAcentral is "partial 16S ribosomal RNA". It matches the Rfam family "Bacterial small subunit ribosomal RNA", at positions 28 to 507 of the family's 1533-position model. The record is from RNAcentral.
GACGAACGCUGGCGGCGUGCCUAAUACAUGCAAGUAGAACGCACAGUUUAUACCGUAGCUUGCUACACCAUAGACUGUGAGUUGCGAACGGGUGAGUAACGCGUAGGUAACCUGCCUGGUAGCGGGGGAUAACUAUUGGAAACGAUAGCUAAUACCGCAUAAUAUUGAUUAUUGCAUGAUAAUUGAUUGAAAGAUGCUAUUGCAUCACUACCAGAUGGACCUGCGUUGUAUUAGCUAGUAGGUGAGGUAACGGCUCACCUAGGCGACGAUACAUAGCCGACCUGAGAGGGUGAUCGGCCACACUGGGACUGAGACACGGCCCAGACUCCUACGGGAGGCAGCAGUAGGGAAUCUUCGGCAAUGGACGAAAGUCUGACCGAGCAACGCCGCGGGAGUGAAGAAGGUUUUCGGAUCGUAAAGCUCUGUUGUAAGAGAAGAACGGGUGUGAGAGUGGAAAGUUCACACUGUGACGGUAUCUUACCAGAAAGAGACGGCUAACUACGUG